Molecule: non-coding RNA, 264 nt
Filed under: Arenibacter nanhaiticus
Lineage: Bacteria; Pseudomonadati; Bacteroidota; Flavobacteriia; Flavobacteriales; Flavobacteriaceae
Source: RNAcentral
AACUUUGCACGGAAUUUUGGUUCCUAUCUGUUUUAAUAAUAGGAUUAAAUGGGAAUCCGGUUAAAAUCCGGAACUGUUCCCGCAACUGUAAGCUUUGUUUGUAGUACUACAAACUCUUGUCUACAUCCUCAAAAACCACUGUUUGUGUUAUGUAUGCUGAUGUAAUUCAGUAACCAGGUCCUCUUAUAUAUUAAAGGGCCGCAUAAAUGGGAAGGUUGGUAGCAAGAAGCAAGUCAGGAGACCUGCCAUUUUCAAAACAUAAAU